Long non-coding RNA from Clupea harengus (Atlantic herring), 1168 nucleotides. The record is from Ensembl. Lineage: Eukaryota; Metazoa; Chordata; Actinopteri; Clupeiformes; Clupeidae.
GGGGGAGGGGGGGGGGGGGGCGCUUGCCUGAAGUGAAUCCGGUUGUUGUGAUCGAGAGCACAUUGCUCUUUGAAGGGGAAAGGAGAGGGGUUGAGGCAGAGAGGGGGAGGGGGGAGGGGGAUUUUAGGUUUUUUCGGAGAGGGGAGGGGAGUGCAUGCUUGGAGGAGGUGGCCUGAAGGGUCCAAUGCGAGAGGAGGAUCGCAGAAGAGGAGACGCUCCCUACUGCACAGCAGAGCAGGAGCAGGGAUGUUAGUGUUGGGACCAGGAGGUGGAUUUGUCUCUAGGGAGGGGGAUAGAGGAGGGGGAUGUGUCUCUAGGGACAGACAGAGGUUGUAGCGGUGAUGCAGAGUGUUAGUUUAGUUUAUGAGCAGGUAAUCUCCACAUGUGUCAGAGAGUGAAAAGAGGUAAACAGAAGGAAGGAAGGAAGGAAGGAAGGAGGGGAUUAUUGAAUGUAAUGAAUACUGCUCCUAGUUUCACCAUUGCCCUACAUUUCUCAAGAAUUCUAAUAUGUGGGCACAGUGUUUGUUUUAUGAUGGUGAAGAUCAUUUGAUUUGAAAUUAAAGUCGGACUGAAGUAGAGUGAGUUAUGAAGUGAAAUUCGUUUUUUUUUUUUCGUUUUUUCUUAAAGCAUCGUUGAUUCGUGAAUGUUGUUGCUCUUAUUUUCAGACACUUGGGCUUUAGGCCCAGACGGCUCUUACUGACUGGAUUAAAAGAUUGUGAGCCGUGGUGUGGCGUGGUGUGAGUCUGCUCGUAAUGCUGGCUCUGUGAGAUUGCUCUCUCUCUGGAUGUAAACAGAUUUCUUAAACUGCCCCAAACAGAUAGUUAGAGGGUUGGGUCUUCAGCCACGGCCAAUAUGGAGCCAUUCCUGUGGCGUGUGGUCUCUGACAGGGGCAAGAGAGGAGACAUGCAACUAAUGUGUGUGUGUGUGUGUGUGUGUGUGACACACACAGACAUUAGUAAACCCACACACACACACACAGACACACAAAUAGUUUGCUGUGUUGACUUGGUGGUGUCACUGCAACUAAGCAACCGCAGGUAGCACCAUCCAGCACAGAGACGUCCUGGCACCAGCGCUGUUUACCCACCUUUCUCCCUCUCUCCUUUCUGGAGGAUCACUCUAUCCCUCCCUCUCUCCUUUCUGUGGGAUCCCUCUAUCCCCCUCUCUC